This 1651-nucleotide unclassified non-coding RNA is filed under the name uncultured fungus. RNAcentral's name for it is "sequence contains 18S rRNA gene, ITS1, 5.8S rRNA gene, ITS2, 28S rRNA gene". Lineage: Eukaryota; Fungi. The record is from RNAcentral.
UUUUGAUGGUUACCCUCUUCAUGACGAGGGUUAAGAAAUGCACAAAGAAGAACUCGAUCCAAACGGCAUUUUUCUCAUUCACGACUUCCUUUCACCGGAAGAGUGUCAGCGUUUCAUCGGGGUGACUGAGGAAACCGGCUACGGCGAUGCACCAAUCAAUUCGUUGGGCGGUUUCAUCAUGCGCAAAGACGUGCGCAACAACAGUCGAGUGAUGAUCGACGACGUUCCACUCGCGCAGCAGUUGUGGCGACGCGCAAGCGAGUUUAUCCCAUCACGUUAUCUCCGCUGGGAAUCGGUUGGACUGAACGAGCGCUUUCGGUAUUACCGCUAUGAAAUUGGUCAGCGCUUCGCCGUCCAUGCCGACGGCUGUUUCGAACGCGACAAUGGCGAACGCAGCCACUUCACGUUCAUGGUCUACCUGAACGAUGGCUUUCGCGGCGGCACAACGAACUUUUACUUGUAUGGAGAUGAAAAACUGAUCGUGUGGCCAAAACGCGGAACAGCCCUGGUCUUCCAUCAUCCUUUGCUUCACGAAGGAACUCCCGUCGACAAGGGCGUCAAAUAUGUGAUGAGGACCGAUGUCAUGUAUCGAUUCGCGACAUCCGGAUGAUGUGGGGCGUUGCCUCCUUACAAUAAGGAGGCUCGUUCUAUUUCAGGAUGAUUCCAUGCCGUCUCGAUUUCAACUUGUCAGUGACUAUCAACCGGCCGGCGAUCAGCCCAAGGCGAUCGCUCAGCUGGUUGAAGGAUUCAACGCCGGCAAACGCCACCAAGUGCUCCUCGGUGCGACCGGCACCGGGAAGACCUACAGCGCAGCGCACGUAAUCCAACAGCUUCAGAAACCCACGCUUGUACUCGCUCAUAACAAGACACUGGCGGCGCAGCUUUACAAGGAACUCAAAGGUUUCUUUCCCAACAACGCCGUCAACUAUUUCGUCAGCUAUUACGAUUACUAUCAACCCGAAGCCUAUAUCCCGCAGCGCGACAUCUACAUCGAAAAGGAUUCGUCGAUCAACGAGAACAUCGAUCGACUUCGACUCGCUGCCACCACGUCGCUGGUGAGCCGGCAGGAUGUGAUUAUCGUCGCGUCGGUGUCCUGCAUCUAUGGCCUCGGCUCGCCCAGCGAUUACAAGCGGAUGAUGGUUCAUCUCACGAAGGGCGAAGUCGUCGAUCGCGACAACAUCCUCUUGAAGCUCGUCGAUAUUCAGUAUCAGCGGAACGAUGUGGAGUUCCAGCGCGGCCGUUUCCGCGUGCGCGGCGACACCAUCGAGAUCUGGCCUGCAUCGGAAGAAUACGCGCUGCGCAUUGAAUUGUUCGGCGAUGAAGUGGAACAACUGGCGACCAUCAAACCCGUUACAGGUGAAACGAUUCAGCAGCUCGACGAGCUUUACGUCUAUCCCGCUCGCCAUUUCGUUACACCAGAGGUGCGCACGCGGGCCGCCAUCGAGGGGAUCGAACAGGAACUCAACCAGCGUCUCGCCACGUUCAAAACGGAAGGCAAGCUGCUCGAAGCCGAACGCCUGCGAGCACGCUGCACCUACGAUCUCGACAUGCUCCGCGAAGUCGGCUACUGCUCGGGCAUCGAAAACUACGCCCGUUGGUUCUCGGGCCGCAACGCGGGCGAACCGCCCUACACCCUAAUCGACUUCUUCCC